This 723-nucleotide long non-coding RNA is filed under the name Struthio camelus australis. RNAcentral's name for it is "lncRNA (ENSSCUG00000014130.1)". Lineage: Eukaryota; Metazoa; Chordata; Aves; Struthioniformes; Struthionidae. The record is from RNAcentral.
UUUCCUGUGUGAUCCUAGCCCCCCUCACAAGAGCCAGGCUAAGACACUCCUAUUAGAUAAGGCAGAAAAGCAUCCUCCAGUGUUAAUAGCCAGCAUAUUUGUCUUAGGUGAAACAGAGACUACACCUUGGAUUUGUUACAAGAGCAGCUAGGUCAUUAAAUAACCUGGCAACCUACCCAAAGGACACAGAGGCAUCUGUAUGGAAGCAAAGUCUCUCCCUUUGGUUUGUGAGUUAAGAGGCGUCUGGGAAGAGGAGGAGGCGACGGGGACAAGAGCAGCACACACAGUGCCCGGGAGGAUGAGGACCCUUCAAGGGGGCGUGUGGGACUGAUAUGCAGGCAUCUGCGAGCUGUAAUCCCAGCUCUGUCACUUUUUGCCUCUGUGGUCCUGGAAAGGAGGACAGAAAUCUCCCAGUUAGAGACGAAUACUGAAGACAGUUGUUAUAAGCUGUUCUUCAAAGAAAGCAAACCAGAGCAGAAAGGUCAGCGCUACUGUGGAGAAGAAAGCGAGGCAGGAUUCGAGGUAAGGAUCCCACUCUCCCUAGAAGAGACGGGAAAGGACUGAGCAAGCUUGGGGUGGCCUCAGGGCCAAGGGCAAAGGGUUCCCAAAAGCAAAUUACAAUGACUAAUCACUCUGGCUGCUGUGUUGCAAGAUAACGACAAUGCCUCAUUUAGCCAGGGCAGGUUUUUGCUUUUGUUCCAGUGCUUGCUGUGCUCAGUUUUC